Long non-coding RNA from Nannospalax galili (Upper Galilee mountains blind mole rat), 611 nucleotides. RefSeq lists it as uncharacterized. NCBI's taxonomy places the organism in Eukaryota, Metazoa, Chordata, Mammalia, Rodentia, Spalacidae. The record is from RefSeq and is a predicted model, not a curated record. The transcript has 3 exons.
CUCUCUCUCUCUCUCUCUCUCUCUCUCUCAUCAUUUCAACCUUUAUUUAUCCUUUUAUCUAUGUCUUUUAUAUAUUAAUAUUGUUAGAUCUUAUUUAUUUAGCUCAAACAGAGAAAUAUGUGUCUAUUUAGAAUAAGUGUUACCACAGGACUUUUUCUGCCAUGUUUACACCAUGUCCCAUUAAUUUUCUCUUAACUACCUUGUGCAGUAGAGACUCAUUUUAUUUUGCUACAUUGAAAAGCUAUCCAUUCUAUUUUCCUUCUAUCUUGCUAUAUAGGUCCGGCUGGCAUGGGACUUAUGAUCUUGGGGCUGGGAGACAGCUCAGUGAUAGAGCACUUGCCUGGCAUGCACAAAGCCCUAGUUUCAGUCCUCAGUACCACAAAAACAAAGACAGAGGAGUCUGUGAUCUCCUCGCCUCACAUGUCUAAAUGCUGGGUUCACAGCUUCUACCACCAUGCCUGGUCCUUCACACAAACUGAGAAAAAAACUUGCUGAGCUAAGAAAUUUGUGAUGCUUUGAAGACAGUAAGUUUUCAACAAAUAUAAGUUGCUUCCAAGAACACACAAAAUAUGAAGCCUUUGAGAGGGAACUGACACUGAUUCUAACCACUC